This is a long non-coding RNA of Taeniopygia guttata (zebra finch), 3433 nucleotides long. The record is from Ensembl. NCBI's taxonomy places the organism in Eukaryota, Metazoa, Chordata, Aves, Passeriformes, Estrildidae.
GGGUUCAUCUUACAGAAUGCACAGGAAGGAGGAAAAUGUACAUUUUGCCUCAGCACCUGCCCAUCACCACCUUUAUAAUUCAGGUUUGCAGAGUAGGAUUUGGGAUGUCCUACGCUCCAGAAACAAUUCUGAUCACAGUGAUAGAUGAAGUUGUGCAUAACUGACACGAGCAGUAAGUGAUGGCAAUGAGAUUUUGCAAGUUGUGCACUGCAUUGGAAAUGUUGCAUCCCCAGGCUUGGAUAUGUCUCUGACCCAAGAGAGGUGCUCAGAGGAGAGAAGGAAGCUUACUGAGAUUAAUGCCUAGUCUGCUGAGCUGUUCGUUUGUUGCUCGGACACACCCGCAGCAGUUCAGCUCGGACACACCCGCAGCAGGUCGGACACACCCGCAGCAGUUCAGCUCGGACACAGCCGCAGCCGGUCGGACACACCCGCAGCCGGUCGGACACACCCGCAGCAGGUCGGACACACCCGCAGCCGGUCGGGCACACCCGCAGCAGGUCGGGCACACCCGCAGCCGGUCGGACACACCCGCAGCCGGUCGGACACACCCGCAGCAGGUCGGACACAGCCGCAGCCGGUCGGACACACCCGCAGCCGGUCGGACACACCCGCAGCCGGUCGGACACAGUCCGCAGCAGGUCGGACACAGCCACAGCCGGUCGGGCACACCCGCAGCAGGUCGGGCACAGCCGCAGCCGGUCGGACACACCCGCAGCAGGUCGGACACACCCGCAGCAGGUCGGGCACACCCGCAGCCGGUCGGACACACCCGCAGCAGGUCGGACACACCCGCAGCCGGUCGGAAGCGCCGCUGGGCGGGAGCGCCCGGCCCGUCCCGGCCGUGGCGGGGCCGGUGCCGCCACCGUGCGGCCGAACCGCGUCAAUGCCCGGAGGCGCCUCGUGCCGAAGCUGCUCCUCUCACAACCAGCUGGAGUUGCAGUUAUUCCUCCUCUUCUUCCUCCCCCUCAGGCUUUGCGGCUGUUUCUGUUUCGGCUUUAUGAGGUGACAAGCCAAACUGUCCAACAAAACAUCGCUCAUUGUCACUUACUAUUGCCUGUGGGAGAUGCCUGGAAAGGUCAGACCAUUGCCUCCAGGUAGCACAGUGAAUCCUCAUGUUUUAGUCCUCGAAGUUACCCCCUUUUGUCACAGAAAUGUUUGUGUGUAGAGAGUAGACAUGAGUCCUUCUUACUGGAGUAUUGGUAGAUGCUGGAGCAUGUCCAGAGAGGGGAAAUUAAAAUGGCUGAGAAGUCUGGAGCAUCAGUCUUAUGAGGAGCAGCUGCAGAGACAGGUGGAAACUGCUUGGAGAAGAGAAGGCUCAAGGGAGACCUUAUCACUCACGUGUCUGAAAGAAGGCUUUUCCAGACAGGUGGGUGUUGGUCUCUCCUCCCAAGUAACAGUAAGAUGAGAGCAAACAGCCUCAAGUUGUGCCAGGGGAGGUUUAGAUUGGCUAUUAGGAAAAAUGUCUUCAACAAAACCGCACUGGAACAGGCUGCUCAGGGGAGCGGUGGAGUCACCAUCCCUGGGGGGAUUUCAAAAGCAAUUAGAUGUGGUGCUUGGGGGCAUGUUUCAGUGGUGGAGCUGGACCGGUUGGGCUCUCUGACCUCAAGAGUCCUUUCCAACCUGAACAGUUCUAUGGUGUAUGCUUCAUGCUCCUCAACUGCAUUUCUGUUUCCCAGUUUAGCUUAUCUGGUCGUUUAUACUGGGUUUUAAUCCCUUCCAGUUCAUCCACCCUUAUAGAGAUCAGCACAAGCCAUAACACACUGGAAGUCUUUUUUCAUUUCUGCCAUCACCACUUACUGCCACAAGAGCAAACUCCAGAAUCUGAGGCAGGACAAUAUUUUAGUUGCUUUUCCCAUUUGAUAACUGGAAAACUGCUUAAAGGAGGGGAAUGGUAAUGUUUCCUCCUCUCUAGCUACAAUCAAUACUCUUCUAUAACUCAAAAUCUGUCUCUGCAGUUGCUCAACACAGAUUAGUUUCUACUGUCUCUCCCCAUUUCUCUAUCUUUACAAUGGGAAAACAAUCCCUUUUUUUCUUUUUUUUUUCCCUUCAUUGGUUUGUGGUUUUUUUAAUCAUAGGAUAUAUUCCUCUGCCACAUACAUCUACAUCUAUACAUCACUUCCAGAUUAGUUAAAUGUUAUUAGGAAAAAUGACCAAAUAGGGGGGAAAAAGCAGCCUGGGAAACUUUACUCUGAACACGGAAGGAAUAAAGCGCUGGGUGAAAUGGCUCAGAGGAGGAGGCUUCAUGCAGAAGACAAUUGAUGGACAGGUGGCUGCUUUGCAUCAGGUUGAAUAAUUUUGGUUGGUUCUCCAGAUUCUCUGAAGACCCUGAUUGAAACUGAUGCUGUUCACAGUCUGUCACUAAGGAGCUGUAAUCAAGUAGGGCUCAAAUACUUCCCUCCCCCAUGCUCUUCGUAGCUGCUGCUGUUAGAUAGGAAAAAUCUUAGUUUAACUCUAGCAUUGCUUAGAAAAAUGUGACCUCUGAGCUGGAAGUGUCAUGCUUCUGAAGGGAACGUUCUGUAACGCAGAAAGAUAGAAUCUUUUUAUAUAUCACUGCUUAAACAGUGAUCCAAAAUAGUCUGGAACUGUCCUGACUUACACUGAGUCCAAGGCCUUGCCUGUUUGGCAGCCUUCAAUGCACUCUUAUUAUCAAAUCCAAUCUGUAGCAAUUAAAUUGCAUCUUGGCAUUUGAAGGUGUGUUUGGACUUUAUGUGGGUUUUUUUGUUUGUUUGUUUUGGUUGAUUUUGUUGUUGUUUGUUUUGGUUUUUUUUUGGUUGUUUUUUAGUUGUGUCUUUGGGUUUUGUUUUUUUUUUUUUUUCUCCACAGAAUAAAGCGAAUGGUUUUUUUUCUCCUUCCUGCAGCGAAUGUUUUUUUCCCUACAUCUUGGUUGUGUUUCUCCUUAGGUCAGGGAAGGCUGGUGGGUUUGCCCUCAGUUUGGAAAGGGAUUGGUGGAACUCGGAAGCUUUUUCAGCAAUCUUUGGCAAACAGCGCUUGUUGAACGUCACCGUAUCUACCGUGCAUCUCCUCCCGUGAGCCAGGCUGCAGUUUCGGGCUGGCUGCGGAGGAGCCCGGGGCUGUGGAGCUGCGCCGCAGUUUUGGCGAGCUGAAGUUCUUGGCCAUUCACCCUUUGUCGUGUCCCCUCAGUGUCCCGCCCUGCUGCCCGGUGCCCCCUCAGUGAGGGGCGGUACCGCCGUGUCCCCCCGGCGCCGGGCCGGGCGGUACCGCCGUGUCCCCUCGGCGCCGGGCCGGGCCGGGCCGGGCGGUACCGCCGUGUCCCUCCAGCGCCGGGCCGGGCCGGGCGGUGCCGCCGUGUCCCCUCAGCGCCGGGCCGGGCCGGGCCGGGCGGUACCGCCGUGUCCCUCCAGCGCCGGGCCGGGCCGGGCGGUACCGCCGUGUCCCUCCAGCGCCGGGCCGGGCCGGGCGGUACCGCCCCGCU